This 71-nucleotide transfer RNA is filed under the name Ardenticatenales bacterium. RNAcentral's name for it is "tRNA-Gln". It matches the Rfam family "tRNA". From Rfam's summary of the family: Transfer RNA (tRNA) molecules are approximately 80 nucleotides in length. Their secondary structure includes four short double-helical elements and three loops (D, anti-codon, and T loops). The record is from RNAcentral. Lineage: Bacteria; Bacillati; Chloroflexota; Ardenticatenia; Ardenticatenales.
UGGGGGAUAGUAUAACGGCAGUACCACUGACUCUGAAUCAGUUAGUCAAGGUUCGAAUCCUUGUCCCCCAG